CGUGAGUCAAAGUCUACAUUUUAGUAAAAUCUCUUUGUCAUAUGUGGGCACAUUAACAUUUGAGAAGUACCAAUUUAACUCUUAGAAUCUCACUAAAUUGUAAAUUGUCAUAUAAUACUUCCACAAAUGGUAAAAAGUAUUGAAUGAGAUAUUCCAUGCCAAGAAUCUGGCACAGAAGCCUGGGGUAAAAGGACUUCCUUCUACUAAAAAAGAAGGCAAGGCACACUUUUGUGACUGUCUGGUUGCUCAUAAAGGGUGAUGAAAGAAGCUGUAACUGUUCACAGGCACUAACCUACAGAAAAGGGCUUGUCUACUCCUGGGAGUGUAGCAUUGAGAACACAUAUCAGUCAACUUCGUCCAUCUCAUGAAAGAUGUGCCAGCAUGUCUCCAGUCCUAUGUGUGGAGGGGUCCCUGAGCUGUUGACUAGACCAGGUUACUUAGUCCAAAGCCAGACUAUCUUGUUGGCAUAUCUCCUUCAAGUAUAAUGAGACUCAAAAAAAUUCCUGCUUCAUUUGUGCAUUAAUUCCCAGAAAGAAAUUACUCUCGGGACCAUUGUAGUCAAGCAAGAUUCUGUUUUAGUCUUCUUGCCCCGAAGAUGAAGACAGCUGUAGAGUACAGCUUUGUAAUUGUACAGUUCUUACAAAUGCAGUGUACAUACACUGCUCCCAUGAGUUUAGCCUGUGUCUUCCUAGUUGAUUUAGUUAAAGCAUUGUAGAUGGAAAGGAUGGGGUGCCCAGAAGCUUUCAGUCCCUUCAUCUAAAAAAUCAGUAUUGAGUACCCAAGGUGUGUAACACCCUUCAUGAGUUGUUCUUAAACCUAAUGUUUUUAUCAUGUUGUUGGUGGGUGAGCUUAGUAUGUAUCUAUACUUAUGUAUAGAAAAGAGAUAAAGAAAAAUGCUUUCUAUGUGCAAGUUUACAUAUCAUGUUGAUAAAUAAAUAGCAUUUACGUAGCAGUAGGAAGAAGCAUAUAGAAAUUGCUAACUAGCUUUUCUAAUCUUUUAAUGCCAAGGAUACUAGGUGUUCACUUAAAUUGCUCACAUAGAUUUCAGUAUAUAAAUACAUUGACUAGGCCCCUAUCUGCUAUAAAAGCAAAUGUGUGGACUUUUGAAUACUGACAAUAAAGAUAGAUGUAAAAUUAUAUAUAUUACUUCAAACAGAUUGUUGAUGCUUUUCAAUAUAACUCAUCUUCCCAAAUGAGAUCAUUUGUCACUCUAAUGUUUGCUAUUUGAAAAUAUCAUUAUAAGUAUAUGCUAGCUAUGCAUAUUACACAACUCAUGUGACAUUUCACCCCAUAAACACAUAAAGAUGACUGGAUUUUUGGAGCUGUUUCUAGAGGCAAAAAAGAAUGGAUCUUUUAAAAUAAUCUGUAAUAUAGUUACCAGAAAUAAAUAUGCAAUACCAACAUGGAUGAUCCAGAAAAAAAUUUCCAUUUCAUUAAUCUACAUUUUGAUCACUUCAUCUAGUACUGUUUUUUCUUAUCAAUUCAGAGAAAUAUUGUACUGCUGAAAGCUACACUUAGUACACUUAGGUGUACUCUUAAAAGUAUUUUACUCCUAUUUGCCCAGAAUUGAUCACCGCACUUUAGUGUACCAUAAACAAUAUGCUGGGUUUUAUGCCUGCAGCCUGUUUUCUAAAAGUGCUAAGCUUAGCAGGAUUGCACUGUGAUGAUCAUUGCUUUUGAAUCUAACAGAUUUUAUGUUUUCAAACUACAUGGAUAAUGAUAACACAUGGCCAGUUUUCCAUUUAGUGCUGGAAUUUUUCUGUCUCCUGGGGCAACCCCAGAUAAGCCUUUUAAGGACUUGAUUACAGUUUGGGCUCCCCCAAGUCUUUUUUCCUUCUGCUAAACACUUUGAUUUUCAACAACUGCUCUAUAAUGCCCUGGUCUUUAGGACUUUCUCUCUCCCAAGCCUCUCUCUAUGAUCUACUCCAGUUAAAUGUCUCUAGUUAAACACAUGGGUUCAAUCCCUAGCACUGGAAAAAAAGAGUGUUGGUUUCAGUUCUUUCUCCCCUGUAUAUCCAUAGUCUUAGCGGUACAGUUUUUCAGUUCCUCCUACAAAUGCAGGGUAUAUUUCUCACAUGAAUUUAGGCUGUUACUUACCACUUGAUUUAGUUAAUGAGAUAGAAAUGAUGGGAUGCUGCUUUUGAGACUAGGACAAAGCUACCAUGUUUCCACUCCCCUCUUAUAUUUUUGUUAUGUUCAUAAGCAGAAUGCACACUGGCUGGUCGAAGGAGGAAUGAGAGAUACAUGGAGGCAACCCAGAUCCAGUCCACAGCCCAGAGCCAGAUUUCCACCUUGACUGGGAUCAGUAGAGGUUCCCAAAUGACCUGCAGAUACAUGAGAUAGAAAUGUUUAUUGUCAUAUGCAAAUGAGAUUUUGUAGUUGUUUGACAGCACAAAUGGACUGAUAUAGGUCUGUUCUAGUUAAAGUGAUAUCCAGGACAAAAUGUGAAGGAUAGGUGCCUUUCUUUGGGACACUUAGGAAUAUUGCAUAAUCCUAUUUGUGAAAUGUCCCAGGUUAUGCUUCCACAUAGACUACAAUGAUGUUAAUACAAUGAACUCAUCUCCUAUAUUGCUUAUUAUUACAUUAGUACUGCAAUUGUGUGGGUGUGUAUGUUUUUGUUUGUUGUUUAUUUGUUUGUUUGUUAUUGCAGUGCACGGAAUUGAACCCAGAGCUUUGCACAUGGUAGGCAAGUGCUCUACCACUGAGCCACACCCCCAACCAUGCAUUUGACUGUUUCUUUGUUCAAAUUAGAAACAUUCUUGGUUCAUAUAGAAUCACUAUGGCAGAUGACCUCAUCAUUUGCUCAUUUGUUUAAUAUUUUUAAAUAUGAUCUAAAUAUGUAGGGUUUUUUUGUUGAUAUUCAUUAAAUUUCAGUUUGAUGAUUUGGCUAUUUGAAUUUUGAACUAAACCAUGCAAAAUUCAUCUCAUAGAAUCAUCCUAUGUAAUGUUCCUUAAAAAAAAUCUUUGGUCAGAUAAAUUUCCUAAAAUAUUUAUACUGUAUUAUUA
This 3006-nucleotide long non-coding RNA is filed under the name Marmota monax (woodchuck). The record is from RNAcentral. Lineage: Eukaryota; Metazoa; Chordata; Mammalia; Rodentia; Sciuridae.